GUGAGUGUGAAGGGAAAAUGAAGCAAAGUAGAUAGACAGAAAAAGAAGGGUGAAUGGGGCUACUUCCAAUAGAACAGAGAGGAAAGGUCUUGGAUAAUGUGACAUUUGAGCAAAGCUCUGAAUGGAGUGAGAUCUGGGAGCAGCAAGUCCAAGUGUCCUGAGGUGAGAGUCCAACUGACUGGAGCCAAAGUUCUGGGCUGGGAAUGAAGAAUUUGCUAGAAAAACACACACCAAUAAAUCACAGGUGAAGAAGCUGAGGCCUGGAAAAGCUCAAGGUCAAGCAAGUAUAAACGGAAGAGCCAAGGCUCUGGUACCAUGGCUUCAGUUGUGUUUUCUCUGACCUGGUUAAGAGCAGCGGUCCCACUGUAAAGACUUCCUAGUUAUUUAUCACCCUCACAUGUAUUAUUUGAACCAAGUAGCCAUAUUGAAAGUUGGCAUAAUCAC
Molecule: non-coding RNA, 444 nt
Organism: Manis javanica (Malayan pangolin)
Lineage: Eukaryota; Metazoa; Chordata; Mammalia; Pholidota; Manidae
Source: RefSeq, a predicted model, not a curated record